CACUCCAUACUCUUGCCUCAGCCUCUUGAGCUGCUGAGAUUAUAGGUGUGCACCUAGCCCAUACUUAGUUUGAUUUUUAAUCUUAAAUUUACAGAUAAUUGUGUAUGUGUCUGCAUGUUGAAUUUGACAAGUAAAAAGAUUCUGAUACUGAAUGCAAAAAUGUGUUUAGGGGCAUUUUUUGAUACCCAAGUAAUAGGACCCUUAGAUAUCUUAGUACCUUCAUCAAGUAUGUUGGCAAGAGUGGGAGUAAGGCCACAACCAGGAAAAAUUGAUAUGUGAUGACAGAUUAGAACAUAAAUUCUGUAUCUCUUAUCCAAAAUGCUUAAAAAUAGAUGCUUGAAUUUUUAAUUUUCAUCAGGUUUUGUAAUAUUUGGAUAUGUGUACAUUUGGAGUUAUCUUAGGCAUGACACCCAGUUUCAAACAUGGAAUUCAUUUGUUUCAAACAUCAUAAAAUAAAGAGCCCUAAGGAAGUUUUAAGCAAUAUUUUUACUGUGGUUGGAUUUUGAUUGUGAUCCAUCACAUGAGGUCAAAUGUGAAGUUUUUCAUUUGUGCUCUCAUGCCACUACUUAAAAUAUUUUGGAUUUGGGGGUAUUUCAUAUUUCAGAUUUUUAAAUUAUGUAUGCUCAAGCUAUUGCAGUUCAAUAUGAAUGACAGUUAAUAUUAAAGGGCAAAGAAGAGUCUCCUGUGAGCUGCAAAUCUUCAACAUCCUAACUUGGAGAAUGGUUUAAUAUGUUAAAAUGAAUGUUUUAUAUGAUAAACAGAACUUAAAAUGCAUUAAGAUGCAUGUAGCAAAAUGAGUCUGAAUUACCAAUAUUCAGAAUAAAAUUUUUAUUUUGUUAUUGUAAUUUAAGUGGUUUAGUGGUUUAACUGGUGUUGGAUUGAGUCAAAAUUACUUUUUAAAAUCAGGAACAGAGGGAGGUCCAAUUUUAAUUUAUAAUUUUAAUGGCACUAAGAUUUUCAGUUUGCUUCAUGUUAUUACUAAUGGAAUAUUAUAGUUUACUAGUCAGUUGAUGAAAAUAUCCUGAGAAUAAAAUCUAUGCACUGUUAAAAAAGAGAUGCAUAUUUCAUACUAGCAUACUUUACUAGAUGUUUACUUAAAAAUUAUAAAUAGAAAUUAUAAACAAAAUUUUAUUGUUUAGCAUUCAUAGAUAUGUGCUUCUGUUUCUCACAAGUGAAAUGGUACCACAUAUAUUAUGCAUGACCAAUAUGUAUUUAUUAAACAUAAAAAAGAUAAGAUAUAGUUUUGGUAAAAUAUAUUUCAAUAAGUAAUUGUUUCUAAUUUCAGACACUUGCAAAAUGCAUUAAUUAUUUAGUAUGAAAAUCUAUUAAUUUGUAAACUGAAUUCUAAAUUUUAUGACAUAUCCUUCAGUUUUCUAAAAUACUAUAUAUCUAAGGCAAUUUAAAAACUCUAGUCAAAAUAAUGUACCUUCAUAGGUCAAUGUUUUUAAUCUAAGAUGAUUUUAAUGACAAAAGGGAGAAAAUCAAAUGCCUGGAAAUCUGUAACAAUUCAUAAAUAGGAUUGACAGAGAAAUAUGCUUAAAUAUCUUUAAUUUUUUUUUUGUAGUUUUAGAUGGGCAGCAUGACUUUUUUAUUUGUUUAUAUUUAUGUGGUGCUGGAGAUCAAACCAAGUCCAGUGCCUUACACAUGGGAGGCAAGUGCUCUGCUACUGAGCAGAUCCAGCCCAUGCUUAAAUAUCUUUUAAGAUUUUCUUGACUUUGUUCUUCUUCCCUAUGGAACUUGCUUUUCUAUAGUUGCACAGGAUAAAUCAUGUAAAAAUUAUUUAAUUCUUCUGUAGUUCUUCCCACAGAUUUGUUUUGUUUUAG
This 1823-nucleotide long non-coding RNA is filed under the name Marmota monax (woodchuck). The record is from RNAcentral. Lineage: Eukaryota; Metazoa; Chordata; Mammalia; Rodentia; Sciuridae.